AAGUCGUAACAAGGUUUCCGUAGGUGAACCUGCGGAAGGAUCAUUAACACGAAUCCUACCUUAUAAACCCAAAGAGAUCUUUUAAUGCACUCGAGAUUAUAUUGAAUCCUUCUAUUUGAUGGCAAGAUCUAUUCGUCAAGUUGUCGCCGUUAGUUGACUGUAGAUCAAUUUGCCUCAAAUAGAGCCGUGGUUCUUAUAUUUCUCGGUGCGAACUAACUUUGUUAAUGGCGAACUAUAUUUACUAGCAUCUGAAAUUUAUGGAAUGACGCCUUAAGAGAGUGAAAACUUUCGGGCUCAUUUCAAUUAAACCAAUUUAUUACAACUCUUAGCAACGGAUAUCUUGGUUCUC
This 349-nucleotide unclassified non-coding RNA is filed under the name fungal sp. Its description in RNAcentral is "partial internal transcribed spacer region". The stretch from base 1 to 46 matches the Rfam family "Eukaryotic small subunit ribosomal RNA", at positions 1786 to 1831 of the family's 1831-position model. Lineage: Eukaryota; Fungi. The record is from RNAcentral.